ACGUGUGCUCGUCCGAACUUUUGGACUGACUGCAGAAGAAAAAUGAUGAACUGUUCAGUCAUGUAAUUCUCUGCUUGGUGAAGUUUUUCAUUCCUCUGAAUCACUUUUUAAAGUCAAUCCUCAACUUUCAAUGAUUUCUAAUUGUUUAGCAGCUCAGUAAAAAUGAUCAAACUACUAAGACACAGAUCUGAGACACAAUCUUUGAAACAGUCCAGAUUCAUUUGUCCUCUUUGUUCAUAAAACUCUAUUUUGAUCAAUAUUUAGUGAAGCUGGUUUCUUGUUUCUUCUGUUUUCUUCUCAUCUUCUCUGAAGCUUAAACUCCUGAUUGAAGUCUUGAUGUCAGCUGAUAGUCAGAGAACUCUUUUCCUGUCUGAGAGCUUUGUUUCAUUGGUUGAGAAUGAAACACAGAGAAUUCCCUCCUGACUGGAUUGAUUUGGGAACAUGUUCAAUGUUUGUUCUAAUAAAGUCUG
Molecule: long non-coding RNA, 470 nt
Organism: Salarias fasciatus (jewelled blenny)
Lineage: Eukaryota; Metazoa; Chordata; Actinopteri; Blenniiformes; Blenniidae
Exons: 3
Source: RefSeq, a predicted model, not a curated record